GGGGGAAUUUUGCGCAAUGGGCGAAAGCCUGACGCAGCAACGCCGCGUGCGGGAUGAAGGCCUUCGGGUUGUAAACCGCUUUCAGCAGGGACGGAACUGACUGUACCUGCAGAAGAAGCCCCGGCUAACUACGUGCCAGCAGCCGCGGUAAUACGUAGGAGGCAAGCGUUAUCCGGAUUUAUUGGGCGUAAAGCGCGCGUAGGCGGCUUGUUAAGCGAGAUGUGAAAAACCGGGGGCUCAACCCGCGGCCUGCAUCUCGAACUGGCAGGCUUGAGUCUGGUAGAGGAGUGUGGAAUUCCCAGUGUAGCGGUGAAAUGCGCAGAUAUUGGGAGGAACACCAGUGGCGAAGGCGGCACUCUGGGCCACGACUGACGCUGAGGCGCGAAAGCUAGGGGAGCGAACAGGAUUAGAUACCCUGGUAGUCCUAGCCGUAAACGAUGGGCACUAGGUGUGGGGGGUUAGUCGAACUCCCUCCGUGCCGCAGCUAACGCAUUAAGUCG
This 500-nucleotide ribosomal RNA is filed under the name uncultured Actinomycetes bacterium. RNAcentral's name for it is "bacterial SSU rRNA". It matches the Rfam family "Bacterial small subunit ribosomal RNA", at positions 355 to 867 of the family's 1533-position model. The record is from RNAcentral. Lineage: Bacteria; Bacillati; Actinomycetota; Actinomycetes.